AAAUACGCAGCGGAAUAAAAUGGAAACACAAUCAAACAGAACACCAAGAUAUACGUGAAAAACCCCUUCAAUGUGAAGGGUAAAAUUCACGGGUCAAACUAGAGAUAAUCCACUAUGAGAAUAAUGAAUGUACAAAUCUCAAUCUCUUGCCCAAAACCCUAGCAACAACCACAAGAGAAUAACUGGGAUACAAGGAUCACGUCAC
This 205-nucleotide long non-coding RNA is filed under the name Musa acuminata (dwarf banana). Its description in RNAcentral is "long non-coding RNA (MACU_LNC011238)". Lineage: Eukaryota; Viridiplantae; Streptophyta; Magnoliopsida; Zingiberales; Musaceae. The record is from RNAcentral.